Molecule: ribosomal RNA, 527 nt
Filed under: marine sediment bacterium BB0608_2216_1.2_5S0
Lineage: Bacteria
Description: bacterial SSU rRNA
Rfam family: Bacterial small subunit ribosomal RNA
Source: RNAcentral
GGAAGCUUGCUUCCAGGCGUCGAGCGGCGGACGGGUGAGUAAUGCAUAGGAAUCUGCCCGGUAGUGGGGGAUAACCUGGGGAAACCCAGGCUAAUACCGCAUACGUCCUACGGGAGAAAGCAGGGGAUCUUCGGACCUUGCGCUAUCGGAUGAGCCUAUGUCGGAUUAGCUAGUUGGUGAGGUAAUGGCUCACCAAGGCCGCGAUCCGUAGCUGGUCUGAGAGGAUGAUCAGCCACAUCGGGACUGAGACACGGCCCGAACUCCUACGGGAGGCAGCAGUGGGGAAUAUUGGACAAUGGGCGAAAGCCUGAUCCAGCCAUGCCGCGUGUGUGAAGAAGGCCCUCGGGUUGUAAAGCACUUUCAGUGAGGAAGAACGCUUGCGGGUUAAUACCCCGCAGGGAAGACAUCACUCACAGAAGAAGCACCGGCUAACUCCGUGCCAGCAGCCGCGGUAAUACGGAGGGUGCGAGCGUUAAUCGGAAUUACUGGGCGUAAAGCGCGCGUAGGCGGCUUGAUAAGCCGGUUGU